RNAcentral lists this long non-coding RNA (8206 nucleotides) under Zea mays. Its description in RNAcentral is "long non-coding RNA (ZMAY_LNC000330)". Lineage: Eukaryota; Viridiplantae; Streptophyta; Magnoliopsida; Poales; Poaceae. The record is from RNAcentral.
GAUGCACCAAACAUAGAGAGAGAUAUCGAGUGAGCGCCGCUGUGCGGGAUCGGCCGCCGCCGCCAUACCCAUUCUCCACGGGUGUAGCAGAGUGAAGCUUGAGGAUAGCCGGAGACCGUUGUGGUGCUCCCAUGAGUGAAAUAGAUGCUUCCCUGGUGCGGAUUGGCGCUAGAGUCCGACGGGAAUUCCUCAUCGAAGAAGUUGUGGCCGUUGUGGACGUGACUCACCGUGGAUGAGGCUCAUCACAACGGAAUCCCCGGUAAGAACAUCAUGCCCAGAAUCGCCUUCAUACCCGUAUCAUGUGGACCGAUUUAAUUGAGAUUUAGUGUGCGUAAUUCGGAGGUUAGCCUAUCGGCGUGAGACCUCACCGUGGCGGCGGUAGUGCCGUGACCUGGUCUGCCCGUGGAGAAGAUGUGCCUCCGCCGUCCGAUUUUCUUCGAAUGGCCAGGAUUAGAAGAUAGACACCCCUUCGCCCAUUUGAAGCUUAGUCGUUGGAUCACGGGUGUGGGGUUUAGAUCGAGCUAGGACGUGGCUGUCCCUUAACCGUUGAUAUCGGAUCUGAUGGUCAGGGCGGGUUGCAACGUGUUACUGCGCCGUGUUCUAAUCUCGUCCGAUCGGGUGUGAUCGGACGGCUCUGGCCUACCGAUACCCCUUUGCGGUUGUUGCUUUGCGAAUGAGCCCCCGCGAAAGAUAUAAAUUAAACCGCAGUCCCACGCCUGAAGUUUUGUGUCUUAAGGUCUUUUGCAUAGUAACCCCUGCCUUUCUCGGUAAUCUUGUGCGCGGUCCAGGGGAGUAGAAAAUCAGUGAAAAUGAUUUAUAAAAUGAAUUUCUUAUAUAAAAACAAUUCCAGAAUCUUAUUUAAUCCUUAGAAAAUGCAUAUGAUGUCCAAAUUAGUUCAUUCCAAUUUCGAUAAUUCUAUAAUAUUAUUGUUUAUCGCAUAGUGCCACUAUUUGACAUGAAAAUUGUAUUAAAAUUAAUCUCUUGGUUAAUCUUGUAUUGAAUACAUAAAACCUUAGGAAAUUCAUAACUCCUCUGUUUUAACUCUAAUUUGAUCCAUUCAAGUUGCGUUAGUCUCGUAUAAAUAUUUACUAUGCAAUAACAACAUUUAUUAUACCAUGUCUCAUUCUUCUAUAAUUAGAUCUUUAUUUAACUUAUGUUGGUUAAACUGCUUAUCAAUAUAAUCUACUAGAAUAUGAUCUAUGCUCAAUUUAUAACUUAGAUUAAAGUUUAGAUAAUUAUUAUAGAAUAACCUCUCAUAUGAUUUACACUAACCAAUUUAUAAUAUAGUUUAGUAUUUUAAUCACACAUAUCUUCUAUAAAAUCAUAACUCCUUAACCGUAACUCCGAUUUUAGUGGUUCUCGUUCCCGCGAUCACGUAGCUUCGCGUAGAUCAUUAUUAUUCAGUUUGUCCUUAUGUUUGGUGUGAUGUUAAUUUUGUCUAUACCAUACUUGUUUGUGUUGCUAUGACUAGCAGUGCAUUCACGGGGAUCCGAAGAAUCACCCUGGUAACUGGAAUUUCAAGUGUAAGGCAAGUUGUGCCCUUGAUCACUUUCAUUUACCCAAUAAUGUUCUUUAUUAUCACUUAUCAAUGCAUAGGUUUAGUUUUGAUGGGACCCAAUAGCUAGGUCACCCUAGUCUAUUUAUACUUUUUACCUUGUUUACCCCUGAAUCAUUUGGGUAGCUAUGCUAUUGCUUUAUAUGGUUUUGGGAUAAUAUUUCAUUGCAUUCAUGUUCUAAUUAUUCUGUUAUGUUAUUUAUGUUCAUGAUAAGAUCAUUAUGUUAAUGGGAACAUGGAGGACCACCCGGGAAAACAGUGCUACCACAAGGGUAGUAUGGGAUGCCCUUGGCUGAUUAAUUAGGAAAUCUAGUGGAUGACUUCCUUACCCGAAAGGGGCAAGGGCAGUAGGGGAGUGGUUAGUGUAGGGAGGUCCUUGGGUUGAUUUUGCUGCGAUGGCGGUCAGGCGAGGGAUUUCUGCACAGGAGCUUCCUAUAACUGUAGCGGGAUUUCUGAAGCUAGUGGAACUUUGUAAAGGCCUCAUAGUGUUACCCUGCCUCGCCUCCUCGGAGAGGUGUAUGGGAUUGGUCGUCUCUUGGCAGAUGGGUAACAUGACUUGUGGGUAAAGAUGCGCAACCUCUGUAGAGUGUAAAACUGGUAUACUAGCCGUGCUCACGGUCAUGAGCAGCUCGGACCCUCACAUGAUUAAUCUAUGGAAUUAAAACUUAAUUUGUCAUUUGCAUCGCAUUGGGAUUAUUGUAUUAUUACUUUUACUAGGAACGUGCCCGUGCGAUGCCACGGAACACAAAUUGCGACCCUCCAAAGGACUUAGGGCCCUAGCGACGGGCGGCGUGAGUACAAUAGUGACGGCAAAAUCUGUGAUUAAACAUCAUCUAUUGUUGUGAGUAUAAAUGUAAACUUAGUCUGUUUACCUAUCGAAACAAUGCUAUGUCAGUCCAUACUAAAACUCACAGAAAUUGCAUGAAAGAAUUUAUACAGCACAAGUUUGCUAGAUACCAAAAUAUAUUUUCCUAUGACUGAUGAAAACUGGAGAACGUUGCCUAAAACCUACAAUCUAGAACAUUCAGAACCUCGAAGAGCAACCUAAGAUUGUGAUGAAGAGAAGGAAGCCUCAACUGUCAGGAUGAGUUGGAAGAAGCGUGAGCAAGGAGUCCUUCACCGCCCGGCCAUGGUCGCCGAGGCCGACGGCCCCCUCCACCGUUGAUAUGAUCUUUGGCACCGAAAUCCCGCCUAAGGGGAUGCUUUAUAAAUUUGUCUCGCACUCUAGUUGUUUAGUUUUUUGUUGUGUAAUGGUUUUUUAAUUAAUCUAAUUAUUAUUUAAACACCCGGUGCGACACAAAAUUUAGUCCUUAGAACCCAACAACUCAGUAAAUCCACUUUCCAAGCGCUGACAGCAACGAACGAGACAUCCAUGCUUGAACUCACGGUGUCACAGGAAUCUGAAACACUUAUACUAGAGUACUACACACAAUACUCCAUCCAUAGGCUGGAUCCACUGAUUUUAGGCCGUGCAGAGCUCGCGCGAGAAACCGACGCGGCCAUUGGCGAUGUCGAACAACACGCGGUGGUUCUACUGCUGCAUGCUGGCCAGCAUGUUGAGCACAGCGUCGACACCGUUCGACGGUCCCGCAGCCAUGGCCAGGCACGCGAUGCCGUCCGAGGAGCUUCGGAUGACCACGUUCCUCUCCGGCAGCGUCACCGACACCCGCCCAUCGAACGAGAAGGUGACGAUUGGCACAGAGAUGGUCACGUUGUAGAACGUGUUGAAGCCACCGAGGGGACCUGCCACCGGCGCUCGCACCCUGCUCUGGAACACGUCACGCACGACGGCGUACACGGGCGCGGACAGCCGCGUGAACAUCGUCCCGGCUUCGACGAUGGUGUCGCGGCCGCUGGCCGGUUCGAACGCGAGGGCCGACGCGGGUACCGGCACGGGCCUGCCACCGACGCGGAUCCUGACCAUGUUGACAUAGUAGAGGGAAUGGCGGUGCGGGUUGGACAGCAGCGGUGUCGUCUUGAUCCUCUUCGGCUGGCCGGCGGGGCCGAGCCAAAGCGUGCCGGAGAAGUUGGAGGAAUUGUAGCUCGGCAAGCAGUAGGAGAAGUCGGAGCCGUACACGUCCUUAUUCUGCGACGGGAACGAGAGCAGCCCGCGGCCGAAUCCCACGAGCCCCUGCGGCGGUACGGAGCCGCCCAUGACGACGCGGAGGCACCCGAACGUGUAGGCCGCGACGGCAUCCACAUCGUCGUGGAGGGCCAGCGCGUCCUGCCCGAGCAGGGCCUAGAACGUGGACGCCGUGUACGACAGGUUGAACGCGCACGACGAGCCCGGGCCCCCUGGGCACGACGGGGCGGGAGCCUGCGAGCACUGCGGCACCCCGCAGCGCACGGGGCGGUACGUGGACGACCUCGUCGGGUCGAACGACGACGCCCAGGCGCAGCCCACGCAGGCGUCGCACGGUACCCACGCGACGUCGUUGCUGGGGUCGAUGGCCACGAGGAGCGCCUACGCCGGCGUACCGAGGCGCGUGCGGGCCACGUAGCUGGGGAUGCUGAGGAGCUGCCGGCCCGGAGCGAUCGGCACGAAGGACCGUAGCGGGAGCGAGGCGUGGCAAUCGGACGGUUGAGACACAGGCGGGGUUGAUCCGGCAAUUGGACGGUCGAGAUGGAGGGGGCAUGGUUGUGCCUAGUCUACACUAUUGCCUUAAGGAUUAGUAGAGAUGUGUAUAUCACAAAUACAAAGACUAAGAAGUGAACUUCUUUGUACGUCAAAAGCUCCAUGUUAAGGUUAGCAUGAUCUGAACAAAAGAAACGAUGCUUAAUAUAUAUAGAGAUUAGGGAAAUAUAUCGAGACGUAUCCAAUAACAUCUCGCAGAUACAAUCUCAGAGGGUGAUCAGGGUAAUAUAGGUCCAUAUCUGAAAUACUUACAUUAGGAUGGAAGUAAGCAUAAAUCAUUCCAAUAAUCCAUAUGUAUCGAUCGAGGCCAGAUCUGAAAUGCCACUCAUGUAGCAGGGGUAAGUGUGCCUUGGAUGGUGAUGGAUCUUUAUAGCCUCAAUAGAAAAUAAUUAAGGUUGGUCCUGAACUCCUGGGCAUGACUGGUAGGGAGAAUGUCAUACAAAACUACAUCAAUAACUUACCUAGCAGAAACGUAAAGGGGGCCCACAAUAAUUCAAAUACCCCAGGGAUUUCCCAUAUCAAAAUUACAGACAAGAAGUAGCAAGCAAUCUUAAUAGUCAUGAUUGAUGGUACCUCAUUGCAUUUGUUAAACAGACCAAGUGAUCCAUAUACCAUAAGAGUAAAUAGUGUGUGCAUUGGGCAUAUAUAAUAGAGCAUGAGAUCAUUGUCAAGGACAAUGCAACAGAAUGCCACAAAGAAAUUUAACCUCCACAUCAUCUGCAUGGAAAGUAUAGUUAUUGGUCUAGUGCUUAAAAGGCGGUAAUAAGAAAUACAGGAGACUAAACUCAUUAGGACAUAGAACAAAAUAAGACUGAUGAGGUAGCAUAGGCACCUGAGCAAAUCUUGCAAUACUAAAAUCUUUCUUGAUAUAGUUAUAGGAGAAAUUCCCAAAUCCAGUCAUCCAGACAUAGUAAGCAAUGAACACACGGAUUGCAUUGUAUAUCUCAGAAGCAGCAAAAUAAUGGUACACUCUUGCAAAUUGGCCUCCAGGUAAGAUAUCAGCUUCAGAAGACGCCUUCCAAAAGGGGUCAUUCUCUCCAAGUGUUCCUGAUCCUGAUCAUUAGAACUUCUGAAAGUAUCAUGAUCACUGCUGUAUUCAGCCAAUAGUGCAUCAAGUGUCUCAAUGUAAACAACCAGCAACCUCAAAUAGUUACAUAGCGUGUCAUUGGGUGGAUUUCCCCAGCUGUCAUCACCCUCCUUGAGGUCUCUUGCUGUAACAUCUUCCCAAACUCAAAUAGGUUACCCCACAUGGCAUCCCCAAGCCUAUGAAGAAUGGCUUGCACGUCACUGAUCACGCCAUCCCUAGAACAUCCUAUGCACAAGUCCUUCAUUUCAGGGAUCACCUCUGCAAGUGCCUCAUACAUGUCAAGGAUCCAAGGGACCUUCUCUAGCGAGCGGGGGCACACCGCCACAGCACCCCCAAAGCUAAGAAUUUGCAUAAUGCAUCCUUUGGUGGACUCAAGGAAGCACACAUACAUAAGUUCAUCAGACGCAUCGAGCACCUGGUCACAGAGGCAACGCUCACCAGCCAGCAGCACGCGCACGACCGUCUUGACCCCGUGCACCCACUUCUUCAUCUUGUCGUUGAGCAGCUUCCACUCGAUGCCUUGCACAUUGUCGAUGCUGAGGCGCUCGACGCCAAGCACGGAGAGGUACUCGUCGAGCAAGUCGUGGCAGGUCCCGCGCACGCCAUCCGGUGGGCGAUGGCGCGCAGGUCUUUGACAGCCUCGGGGCGCACGGGAUCGAACACCUAGUCCUCAAAGGGAUUAGAUCUGAGGGAGGCGCCGCGUGCGGUCUCCGGGCCGGCGGGGUUGGCGUCGAGGCUAUGUGGCGUGGCGGCGUCGAAGUCGGGGCAGGUGUCGAGGUCGUCCAUGGACUCGAGCGAGAGGCGACGGAGCGAGAAGAAGAGGCCUAUAAGGUCGAUGGGGACGGCGUGGCGGACCAUGAGGUGGUGCAGCUCCUCCUCGAGGCGCACCAUGGCGAGCUAGACGGCGACGCCGGCCCGCGCGCCGCCGGGGCCGCCGCGCGCAAGGUUUUCGAUGGCGACAUCCAAAGCGGCGAGGUACUGCACGAUGUCGUCCUCGGGAGCUAAAUUCUAGGAACUGCAAGCAGCUGUAACACAAAAGCUGCACGCUCUCCAACAAAUCAUCCAGCCCCGCUCCGCACCAGAGAUACCUGUUGAUGAGCACAAGCAUGGCUGCCUCAUGGAUGGAGCCCCUCCUCUUGUGCCUGCGCUCGGCGAGUCGCUGGUGUGGGGUCGGAUAGCAACGAGCGGGGUGGCCGGGCGCGGCCUGCUUUUGCCCAGUCGCUGAUCAAACGGUGGCUCUCCUCUCCUGCUGUCGGCCGAGGAUUCCUUCUUUCGGCUCUCAGCUAGCAGCUGGCUCACGCUCCUCGGCAGACAUAGAGAUGAUGCUAUGCCACACUCUCGCGAAGAACAGAGAUGGUGGUUGGGCGCUGUUGUUUUUUCCCAACGAAGGGCAUGGCCGCGCGAGAUGGAGGCGGACGCGGGGGCUGCUGCGUGCAAUGGCGGUGGGGGUUGGGGCGGGACGCGGGGGCUGCUGCGCGCAAUGGCGGCGGGGGUUGGGGCGGGACGCGGUGGCUGCUGCGCGCAUGGCCGAGUGCUCGUGGCGGUGGGUGCGGCUGCGGUAGCGAGAGGACGCAAUCGGACUGUUUCGGAUGGAGGCGGGGUUGGAAAUCGGACGGUUGAGAUGGGGGCGGGGGCAUGGUUGUGCUAGUCUACACUAUUGCCUUAAGGAUUAGUAGAGGCUUAUAUUUUCUAAGGUUUGGUAUUUACUUAUACUUAGUAAUUGCUAAUAAAAUUUUGACCAACUUAUAAAAGCAAUUCUCAGCUUCAGCCUUUAUUUUUGUUGAUUAGCCUUACACUUCACAUGAACUCCCACCUUUGGUGAGUUCAUGCACAUUAUUACCCACGACUUGUUGAGCUAUGAUGGUAAGUGAGCUCACUCUUGCUGUCUCACACCCCCCCCCACAGGAGAAGAUCAAGUGGUUCAAGUGGAGCCACGUAUCGAGGAGUUCGAUUCGAUCUAGGUGGCGUCUCCCAGUUGACUUUCUAGCGCCAAGGACGAUCCUGAGUCCGUUUUAUAUUUAUAAUUUAUUUUGUAAGUCUUCCUCUAUGUAAUAAGUACUCUGAUUAUAUUGUGACAUUUAUCUCUAUACACUCAGUUAUUAUAUAUGUUGUCUUCUUUGGCACAUGUAUGAGAUGCACCUGGCUUUGUCCCUUAAAGCCCGGGUGUUACAACCUGCCCGUGGAUUGACCUCCUCACGCGACCUGAGACGUGGUCUCCCAUUCCGGUUAUGGUGGGUACAAGUGCGGUCACUGCACGACGGCAGUCAGGGUCAGUGAGGCAUUGUACGCCAAGGUAGUGGGCCUCUUUCUGUUGACGGGGAAUCGAUGGGGACGGUUGAUGUGUGUGGAGACGGAGUGCAUCGCCACGUCAUGUGUUUAGGUUUACCUUGCAAGGUUUAAAACUCGAUUCGAAUCGUCUGCUUCUCGCAGCUAAUGAGACUGCUUGAUCCAUGCUGCUACAUUGAGUAAGAAGUUGAAUGAGGUGACAUUCAAAAGAUGUUGAUUGCAAUAAUGUUUGGUACCAUGUAUGAAUAGCUAGGUACUCACCUAGUCUAAAGGAUUAUAAUAAAACUUGAAAAGCUAAAAUUUGUUUUUAGACCCAGCUAGUGCUUUUGGCAAACCAAACCCCUCAGCCAAAUGGCUGCAUGUCUAGAGGUAGAGGAGUAGACUUCUCACAACGUGUAAGUCUAGCUAAGUAUUAGUAUACUCAGCCUUGCUUGUGGCACAAUUUUAUAGGUACUCUGGAGGAUAUGGUUGUUGGAGUGACUUGGCCGUCCACCUUGCCACCAGGUUGGACAGUCGAGUGGGACCCUACCUCAGCAAGAGAGGUGCAUGAGGAGUGAUGGGCUAGGCUUCCCCAUCCUCCAUUGUCUUUACCGUUAGUUAAUUUCUGCUGCAUCAAGAACAAUGGUUACUACUUUUGCAAAAA